AGACGAAGGGAGCAAGCGUUAUUCGGAAUAACUGGGCGUAAAGAGCGUGUAGGCGGUUAAUUAAGUCGAUUGUUAAAUUCCCUGGCUUAACUAGGGAUCAGCGAUUGAUACUGAUUAGCUAGAGGGCAAGAGAGAGAAGUGGAAUUCUCGGAGUAGCGGUAAAAUGCAUAGAUCUCGAGAGGAACACCGGUUGCGAAGGCGGCUUCUUGGCUUGUACCUGACGCUAAAGCGCGAAAGCGUGGGGAGC
RNAcentral lists this ribosomal RNA (247 nucleotides) under uncultured bacterium. RNAcentral describes it as "partial 16S ribosomal RNA". It matches the Rfam family "Bacterial small subunit ribosomal RNA", at positions 523 to 769 of the family's 1533-position model. The record is from RNAcentral.